CUCCGUAGGUGAACCUGCGGAGGGAUCAUUACAAGUGACCCCGGUCUAACCACCGGGAUGUUCAUAACCCUUUGUUGUCCGACUCUGUUGCCUCCGGGGCGACCCUGCCUUCGGGCGGGGGCUCCGGGUGGACACUUCAAACUCUUGCGUAACUUUGCAGUCUGAGUAAACUUAAUUAAUAAAUUAAAACUUUUAACAACGGAUCUCUUGGUUCUGGCAUCGAUGAAGAACGCAGCGAAAUGCGAUAAGUAAUGUGGAUUGCAGAAUUCAGUGAAUCAUCGAAUCUUUGAACGCGCAUUGCGCCCCCUGGUAUUCCGGGGGGCAUGCCUGUUCGAGCAUCAUUUCACCACUCAAGCCUCGCUUGGUAUUGGGCAACGCGGUCCGCCGCGUGCCUCAAAUCGACCGGCUGGGUCUUCUGUCCCCUAAGCGUUGUGGAAACUAUUCGCUAAAGGGUGUUCGGGAGGCUACGCCGUAAAACAACCCCAUUUCUAAGGUUGACCUCGGAUCAGGUAGGGAUACCCGCUGAACUUAAGCAU
This 536-nucleotide ribosomal RNA is filed under the name uncultured fungus. Its description in RNAcentral is "eukaryotic LSU rRNA". The stretch from base 188 to 341 matches the Rfam family "5.8S ribosomal RNA". Lineage: Eukaryota; Fungi. The record is from RNAcentral.